GUGGUGGUUCAGCGGUAGAGUGCUCGCUUAGCAUGUGCGAGGAGGCCCUGGGUUCAAUCCUCAGCACCACA
Molecule: transfer RNA, 71 nt
Filed under: Marmota monax (woodchuck)
Lineage: Eukaryota; Metazoa; Chordata; Mammalia; Rodentia; Sciuridae
Description: tRNA.Ala
Source: RNAcentral